UGAUUUUUUGUUCAAAUGACCCUUCCAAUGUCUUUUAUAGUCAUCAGAGCAGCAGACUAACUUACACUUUAAGUUAAUAUGACUUCCAAAAUAUUUGAAUCGAACAAGUGGAAAAUAUAGUAGAUAAAGAUUGGGCCAAAAGACGAUAUAUAUCAAAUCUAUUAAGGUAAUGAAUUUGUUAAGUGUACAGGUGGAGGAACAAGUUUUGCAAGAAAUGGAAAUAGUUAACGUAAUGGAUUGUGUCUGAUUUGCAAUCGAUCGAUGACAUGAAAGAGAGUAAUCAGAGUUGAUCAGAAGAAGCUUAUGUGUUUAUUGUCAUUAUAUGGUCGUGGGAUUCAUGAAUCUGUAAAUAGAGUUCUUUACCCGUUUGUCCCCUGGAGGCAUCAGCUAUAGGAUCGUAAAGUCAGGGUUUAACACAGAGUUAGGGGAGCUGCUCGAGCAAACUGUUAUGCUCUUUAAUGGCGGUUGGUACUUGUUUGUUGAGUAAACAAAUAAUUGGAAUCAAACCUUUUCAGGCAAUCUAUUCUCUCUAUAUAUAAGCAAUUUAGCGAUGGUUGUUAAUUUUUUCUUGCUUACAAAUACAGAAGUGGGUUUCUUCUCUAUUAAUGGAUGUGUGCUUUGGUCUUCUCUUCUGCCUGCCAGGUGCUCGAUGAAAUGCCUGUGGCUUAUUGUUGUUUGUUUUUCCAUGUUUCCAAUUAGAAUACAAGAGUGUGAUGGAUCUAUCUGAAAAACCUGUUAGAUAUAGUGAAUCCAGGUCAGAUGUACUAUUGCAAAUUGUUAUGUGAUUUGCAAUGGCUUCUUAAGCCAUAUUUAGAGAAGGUAUACACAUUGAAAAUAUGUACAAAUUUGCUAUGAUGAGCAAGGAGUGCUUGAAUAUAGGACAAGAAGAAGAGAAAGCCAACAUAUGUAUUUAUAAUAUAGGAAAGUGGGUAAUGCUUGAUUA
This is a non-coding RNA of Lactuca sativa (garden lettuce), 943 nucleotides long. The record is from RefSeq and is a predicted model, not a curated record. NCBI's taxonomy places the organism in Eukaryota, Viridiplantae, Streptophyta, Magnoliopsida, Asterales, Asteraceae.